This 1367-nucleotide long non-coding RNA is filed under the name Oreochromis niloticus (Nile tilapia). RNAcentral describes it as "lncRNA (ENSONIG00000033913.1)". The record is from RNAcentral. Lineage: Eukaryota; Metazoa; Chordata; Actinopteri; Cichliformes; Cichlidae.
CGAAAUGUUUGCAAAAUCCUAAACAUUCAAAGGAGUCUCUGUGCCCCAUAUCACCCACAGACAAAUGGGUUGGUAGAAAGGAUGAAUGGGACCAUACAGAGGUAUAAUGUUAUUUACGCAUUUCAUAUGUUUAUAUUUUUAAUUUGGUUUUCCUUCAUAUCCCAAUAACUGCUUUGUUAUUUAAUUUUGUAGAGCACUUUCCAAGUUGGUAAAUGAAAAGCCAGAGGAAUGGGACAAACAUUUGGAUGCUGUCAUAUUUGGCCUGAGAACCAAGCCCCAUAUGACCACUAAGUACUCACCCUUUUUUUUAAUGUUUGAUAGAGAGGCGAGGUACCCUACUCAAAUCCCAGAUGAAUACAGAGUAAGUUAUUUUAAAAAACAUUGUUGGAUUAAAUACAUAAGACUUUAAAUUUCUUUUCUUCUUUUUUUUUUUAGAUUUUCAUAUAAUAACACAUCCCUUUUUCUACAUCUUACAGGUGGACAGCAGUGUGGAGGACAUUUUGUCUGUUGAAGAGGCAACAGAAGAAAUUCUUAAGCUGGAUGAAGUCCUUCAGAAUGCUAUUUCCAAUAGCAAAAAAACACAGUCAACAUAUCAAAACAAAAAUAAAGGCAGACCUAGUCCGAGUUUUACAGUCGGCAUGAAAGUGUGGAGGAUGAACACGAGGAGCCAGCAGAGGAAAGGGGGCAAGUUAGAUCGAAAUUACCUCGGCCCAUACACAAUUGCUGCGAUAGAUGGAAAAAGUGUGGAUCUUUUGGACAGCAAAGGUGUGACAAUACCAAAAAUUAACAUUGAUCAUUUAAUGGUGUUCACAGAGGAACAGCCAAGAAUUCCACAUAAGUUGUCUAAUGCUUCUUCUUCUGAGCCAUCCACCACUACCACAUCCACAGUCGGGCCCCCAACCACCACGUCCACCUGUGAAACAUCCACCACCACGUCAGCCUCUAAACCAUCCACCACCACGUCCACCUCUGAAACAUCCACCAUCACGUCAACCCAUGAACCAUCCACCACCACGUCCACCUGUGAAACAUCCACCACCACAUCAGCCUCUGAACCAUCCACCACCACAUCAGCCUCUGAACCAUCCACCACCACGUCAACCUCUGAAACUUCCACCACCAUGUCCACACCUGGGUCAGACACCAAUGCAUUGUCCAGUGCUGCUCUGGGCAUGAUGCAUGCCUCCACUGCCUCUGUAAAAUCCACAGUAGACCCCUCGAUCAUCAAGAAUGUGACAGAUGCGUCGGAGGGAAAUAAGACGUAUGUCCUCCUGUCAAAAAUCGGACCAUACAAGAUAUUCUUUAAUGACAUUUACAAUACAGCUCCCUAAAGGGAACUAGAAAGUGAGGUAAAGUGACAUUUCUUU